AGCGAACGCUGGCGGCAGGCUUAACACAUGCAAGUCGAGCGGGCGUAGCAAUACGUCAGUGGCAGACGGGUGAGUAACGCGUGGGAACAUACCUUUUGGUUCGGAACAACACAGGGAAACUUGUGCUAAUACCGGAUAAGCCCUUACGGGGAAAGAUUUAUCGCCGAAAGAUUGGCCCGCGUCUGAUUAGCUAGUUGGUGAGGUAACGGCUCACCAAGGCGACGAUCAGUAGCUGGCUGAGAGGAUGAUCAGCCACAUUGGGACUGAGACACGGCCCAAACUCCUACGGGAGGCAGCAGUGGGGAAUAUUGGGCAAUGGGCGAAAGCCUGAUCCAGCCAUGCCGCGUGAGUGAUGAAGGCCCUAGGGUUGUAAAGCUCUUUUGUGCGGGAAGAUAAUGACGGUACCGCAAGAAUAAGCCCCGGCUAACUUCGUGCCAGCAGCCGCCGUAAC
This 451-nucleotide ribosomal RNA is filed under the name uncultured bacterium. Its description in RNAcentral is "bacterial SSU rRNA". It matches the Rfam family "Bacterial small subunit ribosomal RNA", at positions 29 to 524 of the family's 1533-position model. The record is from RNAcentral.